Molecule: ribosomal RNA, 881 nt
Filed under: Discosia fagi
Lineage: Eukaryota; Fungi; Ascomycota; Sordariomycetes; Amphisphaeriales; Sporocadaceae
Description: eukaryotic LSU rRNA
Rfam family: Eukaryotic large subunit ribosomal RNA
Source: RNAcentral
GACUUAAGCAUAUCAAUAAGCGGAGGAAAAGAAACCAACAGGGAUUGCCCUAGUAACGGCGAGUGAAGCGGCAACAGCUCAAAUUUGAAAUCUGGCCCUUGGGUCCGAAUUGUAAUUUGUAGAGGAUGUUUUUGGUGCGGUAUCUUCCGAGUUCCUUGGAACAGGACGCCUUAGAGGGUGAGAGCCCCGUACGGUUGACUACCUAGCCUUUGUAAAACUCCUUCGACGAGUCGAGUAGUUUGGGAAUGCUGCUCUAAAUGGGAGGUAAAUUUCUUCUAAAGCUAAAUACUGGCCAGAGACCGAUAGCGCACAAGUAGAGUGAUCGAAAGAUGAAAAGCACUUUGAAAAGAGGGUUAAAUAGCACGUGAAAUUGUUGAAAGGGAAGGAUUUAUGACCAGACUUUUUCUGGGCGGAUCAUCCGGUGUUCUCACCGGUGCACUUCGCUCAGUUUAGGCCAGCAUCGAUUUUCGGUGGGGGAUAAAAGCUUUAGGAAUGUGGCUCCUCCGGGAGUGUUAUAGCCUAUUGUAUAAUACCCUACUGGGGAUCGAGGUACGCGCUUCUGCAAGGAUGCUGGCGUAAUGGUUAUCAAUCACCCGUCUUGAAACACGGACCAAGGAGUCGAACAUUUGUGCAAGUGUUUGGGUGUUAAACCCUCACGCGUAAUGAAAGUGAACGGAGGUGAGAGCCCUUACGGGUGCAUCAUCGACCGAUCCUGAUGUUUUCGGAUGGAUUUGAGUAAGAGCAUAACUGUUCGGACCCGAAAGAUGGUGAACUAUGCGUGGAUAGGGUGAAGCCAGAGGAAACUCUGGUGGAGGCUCGCAGCGGUUCUGACGUGCAAAUCGAUCGUCAAAUCUGCGCAUGGGGGCGAAAGACUAAUCGAA